RNAcentral lists this ribosomal RNA (726 nucleotides) under Triticum aestivum (bread wheat). RNAcentral's name for it is "partial small subunit ribosomal RNA". Lineage: Eukaryota; Viridiplantae; Streptophyta; Magnoliopsida; Poales; Poaceae. The record is from RNAcentral.
AUGGUGGGGCUGCAUCAAAGUGCGUUCGUGAGAGGCCGAUCUUUGCAUGAUAAUUUCAUGCUUGUCCAAUGCACAACUCGCAAACUUCAUGCGCUGAGGAACCCCACGGUUAUGCUAAAGCUUGAUGUAACUAAGGCAUUUGACCCAAUACAAUGGCCUUUCAUUCUAGAGGUCUUGAGGAGAUUGGGUUUCAGUCAUAGAUGGAUCACUUGGAUAUGUGGGUUGUUGGCAACAUCUUCUACGCGGAUCCUGGUUAAUAGCACGCCUAGCAAACUGUUCCUCCUUUGCCAGGGCUUUCGGCAGGGCGACCCGUUGCCGCCUAUGCUAUUUAUACUCUAUAUGGAGCCCCUACGAGCACUCUUUGAACAUGCAACCGGCAGAGGUUUACACGGGCAGCUAGCGAGGAAUGGGCUGAGGCAAAGAGUUUCGAUGUUUGUCGAUGAUGUGGUGGUCUUUUUCAAGCCCACAAUGCUGGAAGCUAUGACAUGUGAUGCACUCUUGCAGGUAUUUGCACAAGCCUUGGGCUUGGUGGUCAAUAUGAACAAAAGUGCUAUCUGGCCGAUUCGAUGUUCGCCCAAGGAUGUGGAUUUUGUUAAGACAAUCAUGGGUUGCUCAAUGGCCAAUUUUCUGUGCACCUACUUGGGUCUACCCUUAACACUCAGAAAACAGUCUACGACGCAGUUGCAAGGCAUGGUGGACAAGGUUCGGGACUGUUUUCCACAUUAG